Molecule: long non-coding RNA, 223 nt
Filed under: Elaeis guineensis (African oil palm)
Lineage: Eukaryota; Viridiplantae; Streptophyta; Magnoliopsida; Arecales; Arecaceae
Description: long non-coding RNA (EGUI_LNC047622)
Source: RNAcentral
AGCCCAUGUACACCCAUGACUUGACCUAAUCUCACCUAUCCUGGGCCCAGACCUAGCCCAUAAAGAGUUGGUCCCUUGAGGCCCACAUAACCUAGACCUCAAGAACCCGAAAGGCCCACAGCCUUUCAACCUAGGGCCCAACUAGCCCUAGAGCCUCCAUGAAGCCCUCAUGAAUGAUGGACCUUGGCCUUAGUCUUGGUCCCUUGGGCCUUGGGUACACCAC